AAUUCACGCGCACCUCGCCCAGCAAUUAAUCCUAUUUUUGCAAACGGCCGCCAAAUAUUUGAGAGAGCAGAUUGCGCGUGUUGUCGAUCGCUUCAUCGAAAGGGACUUUGAAUUCUUGUUUACACAAAAGCUCGUUGAUGAGCGUCGAGUGUCCCGAAGGAAGUUCUUCGCUCGGAAAAUAGGAACAAGUAUCGUAUUCUCAGAACUCGAGAGCUCCUUUCCGACUACGGCGUCGGGAUUAUCUCGACUAUAGAUGACACCGAUCGCUGGGGGGUCCAGGUAGGAGAUAAGCGGACAUCUUCGAGAGCUGCCGUCGCGUAUCGAUCCGAAUCCCGAUUCAAUUUUCUACACCCCCGACGUAGCGCAACGGCGAAACGGCAUGCAUUAAACAUCGUGCAUCACGCAUGCCGGCGCACUGAUCCAUCGUCGCGACGUCGGGGAUAAAUGCGUCAGCCAGGACACACGACAUCAGGGGUGGCUACGACACUAUGACGUUAUCGAGAUAUCUAUGAGAUAUCGGUGAUUAUCUUCCGCUUAUCACUCGGCUUCGGUAUCAGUGUCGUACGAUGUUAUUGAGGGACUGGUAUUUAAAAGAAAUGAAAUAAACAGAAAAUAAUGCAUUUAACACUCUCAUGAAUUUUCAAGUAAGAAAUAUUUUUAUUUGUUCAAUUUUUGUAAAAUAACAUCAUUGAAAUAUCAAAUCAGGAACGCUCACAUAAUAAGUUUCUUUUAACUUACAAUUUUAUUUUAAAUGAAAUUUAAUAAUCCUUUUGCUUAAUUAUUAAGCUUGAGUUAUUCCAAUUAAUUUUAAUCAAAUAGGGGAAAAAGACGUGUGAAAAUUCCUCCAAAUAGGAUUCAUCACAUAGAAUUUCUAAUUGAUUAUUUUAAUUUAAAUUAUUUUUACAAAUACCUCGCACAAAUUUAGAGAUCAGUGACGAUUCUUGAUCGUUUCUGCAGCCGGGUCGCGUUACUCCGAACACAUUUUAGUAGGCGCCUGUUCACGCAUACACGCGCAUCGUUUUCUAUCCGAGAGGCGCGGCGGUCUGCUCUAUUAUUACACGAAAUUGCCUGGGAAAACUUUCAUUAACUUGUCCGAUGCCUAAUUCAUGAGAGACGGACCGACGCGAUACCGUAUAAUCCGCGCCUGAGGCCUCGCGGGCGGGCGGCGAGGGGGCGAGUCGAAGGGGGAUGAAGGGGAGAGGGACGGGACAAUCGGUGAAAUGAUUUCGGAGGUACGAAAUGAAAUAAAGAUGAUCUCGCGUUCGGCUGCGGAUGCGAAAGCAUUGGAAUUGAAAAUCCGAUCGAUGAGUGAAAUCGCUCGUUUUCAUCCCGAUAUAUUCUGCGAAUCGCGUUAACGUAUCAAACUCUUUCACAUUUCACACGUGGAAAUUGUCAUUUUUAUUUUUUUUCAGCAUUUAUAAUACUUACUGAUUCGUGUGUGUGAGAUUGGUUGUCUGUUUUUUUUUCAUUCAGGUCCGAAAUUGCAUUUUGAAAAUCUAUUUAAACCAAUUCAUUAUGCACCUUGUAGGAUAAAUUAUACAAAUUUGUGCAUUUGUAAAUUUUAAAGGAAUGCUUUGUCUUAAUGUUACUUUUUUAUUUUACAAAAACAACUAUUAUUUUUAUUUCUUUCUUUAAAAUUACUUUAACAUUAUGCCGAUAAAAUCUUUAAUGAAUAAAAUAUAAAUUCUUGGAAUCAUUAAUUAUUAUUUGUUUUUUUAAUUUUUUACAUAAACAUAAGGCACAUUAUUCUGAUUGGUUUUAUUUACUUCCUUGUAAUCUAUGAGAAAGAGAUUUGUUAUAAGAAUUAUCAACGACAGAAAAUAAUAAAUCUUUCACGAGUUUUUUGACGUUAAAACUUUUUAUCGCUUAAUUAUAUUACGAUUAUAAAUACAGAUAACGAAACCAUUCAUCGAUUAAAUUGAAUUCAAACCGGUUUUAACAACAACGUCUUAGAAACUAGAGAGACUCAAGAGAGUGAAGCGGAUUUACCCGAAGUCACCAUUUUCAACACAUCUUUUAGUAAUGGGCGGGAUCUUUAACUUCUUUUCAGAUUUCAAAUACUGAUUACAUUAUCUUAUAAUAUAUUAAUUUUCUUUUUUGUAUAUAUGAAUACUAGAGAGAUAUUCUAAAAUGUUACAUUAUUCACUAUUAUUUAUAUUAAUAUUAGAAAGAUUUUUGCAAUUCGACAACAUUGCACUGUGUGUAUAUAUAUAUAUAUAAUACAUAUGCAUAUUGAGGAAGUGUGCUGAAAAUGGCGGAACCAAUCAAAGUAAGGAACACCAUUCUCUCUUGAGUCCCUCUAGAAACAUCUCUUUCCCGCCACCUAUUCAACGUGACUUCAACCAACUCAACGUUUUUGCUUGGAUCUACCUGAAACAAGACUUUAAUACCUGCCGCAUUUCCUUACGUAUCGACGUCGGGACAAUCGGCAUGGACUUUCCAUGGCAAAAGAACACAGUCCGCAACCUGUGCGACGGCAGAGCGCGAUUUUAUCGGCACCCUGUGCAUCAAGGUGGUCUUCAUCGUGGAUAGAAACGCGAGUAUCGAUCCUCAGUCAAUUAUCGCGAAAUAACGGUCAUUAGCGAAUUACUUAAGCUCUUUCACUCUUUCCUCUUUCGCUCUUUCCUCUCGCAAUUCCUCCUCUUCGUCUCUUCGCGCAACUUUCUUUCUCUCUACGUCCCUCGCUCGUCAGAAGCGCAUCGGCCUCUCGCAAUUUCGUCCUCUCCCGCGUUAUCUGCGUGUACCGUCGGAUAUAAUGUACAGGCCUCAUUACAACGAGGGUGAGAGCGAGGGGGUGAAGGUCCGCGCGGGCCCCGCGGGCGUGCACGGUCGCUCGCGUGCGCGUGAGCUUGCACGAGAGAUAAUUCCCUCCUCCCUCCUUCAUUCUCGCUCUUUCCUCCCUCUCGACCUCCUCUCAGAAGUCAUAAUGUACAAGGGUCCCGAGAUUGGGGAGAGAGAGAAUGUAUAUUUAGCACGCUACUUUGUUGCCGGUCGCGCGAUGCGCCGGGAGCUCGUUCGCGGAAGAGCUGUGCGCGUCCGCGAGAAGGCGGCGAGGACCGCGCAGAGGAGGAAGGAUUCCUCGCGAGGAAUUAGGGCCCUGCGUGCCGCGAUCGCGUGCGCGGGAACAGUAGCCAGGGUUUCUCUCCGUGGUGACCUUACGUGACUCGAUGUAGUAGAUACACCGAGCUGCUUCACGGUGGCGUAUCGCAGUCGCCGCCUCUUCCCGAAGAACGGAACCCGCAAAUCUCCCUUCUUAAGCUCAUAUUAUUUUACGCGACUUAUGAGACCUAAAUGACGACCGCGUUGCGAUCAGAGGUCGGGAAAAUAGCUUCAAU
RNAcentral lists this long non-coding RNA (3335 nucleotides) under Monomorium pharaonis (pharaoh ant). RNAcentral describes it as "uncharacterized LOC118647332". Lineage: Eukaryota; Metazoa; Arthropoda; Insecta; Hymenoptera; Formicidae. The record is from RNAcentral.